GCAGUGGUGGUUCAGUGAUAGAAUUCUCACCUCCCAUGUGUGAGACCCAGGUUCAAUAUCUAACCAAUGCA
Molecule: transfer RNA, 71 nt
Filed under: Loxodonta africana (African savanna elephant)
Lineage: Eukaryota; Metazoa; Chordata; Mammalia; Proboscidea; Elephantidae
Rfam family: tRNA
About the family: Transfer RNA (tRNA) molecules are approximately 80 nucleotides in length. Their secondary structure includes four short double-helical elements and three loops (D, anti-codon, and T loops). Further hydrogen bonds mediate the characteristic L-shaped molecular structure. tRNAs have two regions of fundamental functional importance: the anti-codon, which is responsible for specific mRNA codon recognition, and the 3' end, to which the tRNAs corresponding amino acid is attached (by aminoacyl-tRNA synthetases). tRNAs cope with the degeneracy of the genetic code in two manners: having more than one tRNA (with a specific anti-codon) for a particular amino acid; and 'wobble' base-pairing, i.e. permitting non-standard base-pairing at the 3rd anti-codon position.
Source: Rfam by way of RNAcentral